UGGGGAAUAUUGCACAAUGGGCGCAAGCCUGAUGCAGCCAUGCCGCGUGUGUGAAGAAGGCCUUCGGGUUGUAAAGCACUUUCAGCGAGGAGGAAGGGUAGUGUGUUAAUAGCACAUUGCAUUGACGUUACUCGCAGAAGAAGCACCGGCUAACUCCGUGCCAGCAGCCGCGGUAAUACGGAGGGUGCAAGCGUUAAUCGGAAUUACUGGGCGUAAAGCGCACGCAGGCGGUUUGUUAAGUCAGAUGUGAAAUCCCCGCGCUUAACGUGGGAACUGCAUUUGAAACUGGCAAGCUAGAGUCUUGUAGAGGGGGGUAGAAUUCCAGGUGUAGCGGUGAAAUGCGUAGAGAUCUGGAGGAAUACCGGUGGCGAAGGCGGCCCCCUGGACAAAGACUGACGCUCAGGUGCGAAAGCGUGGGGGAGCAAACA
RNAcentral lists this ribosomal RNA (428 nucleotides) under uncultured Serratia sp. Its description in RNAcentral is "bacterial SSU rRNA". It matches the Rfam family "Bacterial small subunit ribosomal RNA", at positions 355 to 774 of the family's 1533-position model. The record is from RNAcentral. Lineage: Bacteria; Pseudomonadati; Pseudomonadota; Gammaproteobacteria; Enterobacterales; Yersiniaceae.